UACGGGGGGGGCAAGCGUUGUUCGGAAUUACUGGGCGUAAAGGGCUUGUAGGUGGCCAACUAAGUCAGACGUGAAAUCCCUCGGCUUAACCGGGGAACUGCGUCUGAUACUGGAUGGCUUGAGUGUGGGAGAGGGAUGCGGAAUUCCAGGUGUAGCGGUGAAAUGCGUAGAUAUCUGGAGGAACACCGGUGGCGAAGGCGGCAUCCUGGACCAUUACUGACACUGAAAAGCUAAAUCCAGGGGAGCAAACUGG
RNAcentral lists this ribosomal RNA (253 nucleotides) under uncultured bacterium. RNAcentral's name for it is "partial 16S ribosomal RNA". It matches the Rfam family "Bacterial small subunit ribosomal RNA", at positions 524 to 776 of the family's 1533-position model. The record is from RNAcentral.